UAGAGUUUGAUCCUGGCUCAGGACUAACGCUGGCGGCGUGCUUAACACAUGCAAGUCAAGGGGGCCCAGCAAUGGGCAACCGGCGGACGGGUGCGUAACACGUGAGCAACCUACCGAACUGUGGGGGAUAGCCGGCCUAACGGCCGAAUAAUACCGCAUACGCUUUCAUUGAGGCAUUUCAGUGAAAGGAAACCUACGGGACAGAUCGAGGGGCUCGCGGCCUAUCAGCUAGUUGGCGAGGUAACGGCUCACCAAGGCGACGACGGGUAGCUGGUCUGAGAGGAUGGCCAGCCACAUUGGGACUGAGAUACGGCCCAGACUCCUACGGGAGGCAGCAGUGGGGAAUCUUGCGCAAUGGCCUAACGGCUGACGCAGCGACGCCGCGUGUGGGAUGAAGCUCUUCGGAGUGUAAACCACUGUUGCCCGGGACGAAUAGCUCGAUUAAUCGAGCCUGACGGUACCGGGUGAGGAAGCACCGGCUAACUCCGUGCCAGCAGCCGCGGUAAUGCGGGGGGUGCGAGCGUUGUCCGGAAUCACUGGGCGUAAAGGGCGCGUACGUGGUUUGAUAAGGGUGUGGUGAAAGUCCGGGGCUCAACCCCGGAUCUGCCGUGCCGACUGUCAAACUCCAUGGCUGUAGAGGUAGACAGAAUUCCGGGUGUAUCGGUGGAAUGCGUAGAGAUCAGGAGGAAGACCGGUGGCGAAUGCGGUCUGCUGGGCAGUUUCUGACACUGAUGCGCGACAGCGUCGGGUAGCAUACACGAUUAGAUACGCUGGUAGUCACACCGUAAACGAUGGGUACUAGGUGCCUGGGGGAGCGACCCUCUGGGUGCCGGCGCUACGCAGAACGUAGCAUGCUGGUGAGUACGACCGCAAGAUGGAAACUCAAGGAAUUGACGAGGGGCCCGCUACAAGCCACUGGAAUU
This 923-nucleotide ribosomal RNA is filed under the name uncultured soil bacterium. RNAcentral describes it as "SSU rRNA". It matches the Rfam family "Bacterial small subunit ribosomal RNA", at positions 1 to 940 of the family's 1533-position model. The record is from RNAcentral.